RNAcentral lists this ribosomal RNA (924 nucleotides) under uncultured bacterium. RNAcentral's name for it is "bacterial SSU rRNA". It matches the Rfam family "Bacterial small subunit ribosomal RNA", at positions 72 to 990 of the family's 1533-position model. The record is from RNAcentral.
GAUGGUGCUUGCACUAUCACUUAGCGGCGGACGGGUGAGUAAUGCUUAGGAAUCUGCCUAUUAGUGGGGGACAACAUCUCGAAAGGGAUGCUAAUACCGCAUACGUCCUACGGGAGAAAGCAGGGGAUCACUUGUGACCUUGCGCUAAUAGAUGAGCCUAAGUCGGAUUAGCUAGUUGGUGGGGUAAAGGCCUACCAAGGCGACGAUCUGUAGCGGGUCUGAGAGGAUGAUCCGCCACACUGGGACUGAGACACGGCCCAGACUCCUACGGGAGGCAGCAGUGGGGAAUAUUGGACAAUGGGGGGAACCCUGAUCCAGCCAUGCCGCGUGUGUGGAGAAGGCCUUAUGGUUGUAAAGCACUUUAAGCGAGGAGGAGGCUCUUUUGGUUAAUACCCAAGAUGAGUGGACGUUACUCGCAGAAUAAGCACCGGCUAACUCUGUGCCAGCAGCCGCGGUAAUACAGAGGGUGCAAGCGUUAAUCGGAUUUACUGGGCGUAAAGCGCGCGUAGGCGGCCAAUUAAGUCAAAUGUGAAAUCCCCGAGCUUAACUUGGGAAUUGCAUUCGAUACUGGUUGGCUAGAGUGUGGGAGAGGAUGGUAGAAUUCCAGGUGUAGCGGUGAAAUGCGUAGAGAUCUGGAGGAAUACCGAUGGCGAAGGCAGCCAUCUGGCCUAACACUGACGCUGAGGUGCGAAAGCAUGGGGAGCAAACAGGAUUAGAUACCCUGGUAGUCCAUGCCGUAAACGAUGUCUACUAGCCGUUGGGGCCUUUGAGGCUUUAGUGGCGCAGCUAACGCGAUAAGUAGACCGCCUGGGGAGUACGGUCGCAAGACUAAAACUCAAAUGAAUUGACGGGGGCCCGCACAAGCGGUGGAGCAUGUGGUUUAAUUCGAUGCAACGCGAAGAAUCUUACCUGUCUUGACAUAGU